RNAcentral lists this long non-coding RNA (618 nucleotides) under Anas platyrhynchos platyrhynchos (common mallard). Its description in RNAcentral is "lncRNA (ENSAPLG00000028773.1)". The record is from RNAcentral. Lineage: Eukaryota; Metazoa; Chordata; Aves; Anseriformes; Anatidae.
AUGCACAGUAAAACAUUUUCACUAUAUUUUAUUUUCUUGUUUUUAGACUGCAAACUGGACAUUAAAAAAUUGCAUUUGAUAGAAUCUGUGAAGAAUCAUCCUAUCUAUGUUUUUGAAGUGAAUGAGACAUUUUCUUUGGAUCCAAAUAAGCCAGAAAUACAGAGAGAAAUCCCGGUAUCGUUUAUUAUUAGAGGAGACAAACAAAAGAAUGGCACAGAUAAAAACUUAAAUAAAGAAGGAAGUCAAGCAGAAAAUCAGACAGAGUAUACUAUUAAAGUAUACACAGGUGACAAAAGGGGAGCAGGAACUGAUGCCAAUGUGCAUAUUAUUUUAUUUGGGGAUGAGGACAAAUCUGAGGUGUUUCAGCUCUCUCAGUCACUGGAGCGUCAGGAUCCCUUUGAAAGAGGAAAGGUUGAUACAUUCAAGAUUAAGACAAAAAAAAUAGGAUGCUUACAUUCCAUUGAAAUUGGUCAUGAUGGGAAAGGAUUCGGUAAGUAUACUGCAUGUGUUCAAUGGGCUUGUAAAAAUCUUCUGCUUGAAUAUCUGCCUGACAUUUGGAAGGUCUUUGAAGUCAUGCUAUUGCUACAGUUAGCUAAUACAAAUCUUGAUACAAAUUAG